GAAUUCGCCCUUAGAGUUUGAUCCUGGCUCAGGACGAACGCUGGCGGCGCGCCUAACACAUGCAAGUCGAACGAGCGAGAGAGAGCUUGCUUUCUCGAGCGAGUGGCGAACGGGUGAGUAACGCGUGAGGAACCUGCCUCAAAGAGGGGGACAACAGUUGGAAACGACUGCUAAUACCGCAUAAGCCCACGGGUCGGCAUCGACCAGAGGGAAAAGGAGCAAUCCGCUUUGAGAUGGCCUCGCGUCCGAUUAGCUAGUUGGUGAGGUAAUGGCCCACCAAGGCAACGAUCGGUAGCCGGACUGAGAGGUUGAACGGCCACAUUGGGACUGAGACACGGCCCAGACUCCUACGGGAGGCAGCAGUGGGGAAUAUUGCACAAUGGGGGAAACCCUGAUGCAGCGACGCCGCGUGGAGGAAGAAGGUCUUCGGAUUGUAAACUCCUGUUGUUGGGGAAGAUAAUGACGGUACCCAACAAGGAAGUGACGGCUAACUACGUGCCAGCAGCCGCGGUAAAACGUAGGUCACAAGCGUUGUCCGGAAUUACUGGGUGUAAAGGGAGCGCAGGCGGGAAGACAAGUUGGAAGUGAAAUCUAUGGGCUCAACCCAUAAACUGCUUUCAAAACUGUUUUUCUUGAGUAGUGCAGAGGUAGGCGGAAUUCCCGGUGUAGCGGUGGAAUGCGUAGAUAUCGGGAGGAACACCAGUGGCGAAGGCGGCCUACUGGGCACCAACUGACGCUGAGGCUCGAAAGUGUGGGUAGCAAACAGGAUUAGAUACCCUGGUAGUCCACACCGUAAACGAUGA
Molecule: ribosomal RNA, 803 nt
Filed under: uncultured bacterium
Lineage: Bacteria
Description: bacterial SSU rRNA
Rfam family: Bacterial small subunit ribosomal RNA
Source: RNAcentral